Molecule: ribosomal RNA, 491 nt
Filed under: uncultured bacterium
Lineage: Bacteria
Description: partial 16S ribosomal RNA
Rfam family: Bacterial small subunit ribosomal RNA
Source: RNAcentral
AGUGAACGCUGGCGGUAGGCCUAACACAUGCAAGUCGAACGGCAGCACAGUACGAGCUUGCUCUUACGGGUGGCGAGUGGCGGACGGGUGAGGAAUACAUCGGAAUCUACUUUUUCGUGGGGGAUAACGUAGGGAAACUUACGCUAAUACCGCAUACGACCUACGGGUGAAAGCAGUGGAUCUUCUGACCUUGCGCGAUUGAAUGAGCCGAUGUCGGAUUAGCUAGUUGGCGGGGUAAAAGCCCACCAAGGCGACGAUCGGUAGCUGGUCUGAGAGGAUGGACACCCCCCGUGAAAGUGACCCGCGGCCCAGCACCCGAGGGAAGGCACAGAUGGGGAAUGGUGGCAAAAGGGGGCAAGCCUGAACCAGGCAUCCGGGGGGGAUGAAGAAGCGCCUCGGGUGGGAAAACCCUUUUGGUGGGAAAAAAAACCAUCGGGUUUAACCCACCGUGUUUGACGGGAACCCAAAAAAAAGGCACGGCUAAAUACGUG